This 497-nucleotide ribosomal RNA is filed under the name uncultured bacterium. RNAcentral describes it as "partial 16S ribosomal RNA". It matches the Rfam family "Bacterial small subunit ribosomal RNA", at positions 28 to 507 of the family's 1533-position model. The record is from RNAcentral.
GAUGAACGCUGGCGGCGUGCCUAAUACAUGCAAGUCGAGCGAAAGGACGAGGAGCUUGCUUCUCUGAUGUUAGCGGCGGACGGGUGAGUAACACGUGGAUAACCUACCUAUAAGACUGGGAUAACUUCGGGAAACCGGAGCUAAUAACGGAUAAUAUUUUGAACCUCAUGGUUCAAGAGUGAAAGACGGUCUUGCUGUCACUUAUAGAUGGAUAAGCGCUGAAUUAGCUAGUUGGUAAGGUAGCGGCUUACCAAGGCAACGACGCAUAGCCGCCCCGAGAGCGACGUUCGACAGACGGGCAGAGAGAAAGAUCACAGACUCUGACAGGGGGACACAGUCGGGAAUCUUACGGAAUGCGCGAAUGCCUGAUGGUGCACCGCCGCGGGAGUGCUGAAGGUCUUCGGCUGGUAAAGCGCUGUUAUCAGGGAAGAAGAUAUGUGUAAGUAACUGUGCACAUCUUGACGGUACCGGAACAGUAAGCCACGGCUAACUACGUG